RNAcentral lists this ribosomal RNA (778 nucleotides) under uncultured bacterium. RNAcentral describes it as "bacterial SSU rRNA". It matches the Rfam family "Bacterial small subunit ribosomal RNA", at positions 55 to 829 of the family's 1533-position model. The record is from RNAcentral.
AUGCAGUCGAGGGGUAACAUGGGUAGCAAUAUCUGAUGACGACCGGCAAACGGGUGCGGAACAUGUACGCAAUCUUCCCAAAACUGGUGAAUAGCCCUCCGAAAGGGGGAUUAAUACACCGUAAUAUAAUGAAGUGGCAUCACUUUAUUAUUAUAGCUCCGGCGGUUUUGGAUGAGCGUGCACCUGAUUAGGUAGUUGGUGGGGUAACGGCUCACCAAGCCUACGAUCAGUAACUGGUGUGAGAGCACGACCAGUCACACGGGCACUGAGACACGGGCCCGACUCCUACGGGAGGCAGCAGUAAGGAAUAUUGGUCAAUGGACGAAAGUCUGAACCAGCCAUGCCGCGUGAAGGAUUAAGGCCCUCUGGGUUGUAAACUUCUUUUAUAUGGGACGAAAAAAGGGAAUUCUUUCUCACUUGACGGUACCAUAAGAAUAAGCACCGGCUAACUCCGUGCCAGCAGCCGCGGUAAUACGGAGGGUGCAAGCGUCAUCCGGAUUUACUGGGUUUAAAGGGAGCGUAGGUGGGCAGGUAAGUCAGUGGUGAAAUCUCUGGGCUUAACCCGGAAACUGCCAUUGAUACUAUUUGUCUUGAAUUAUCUGGAGGUAAGCGGAAUAUGUCAUGUAGCGGUGAAAUGCUUAGAUAUGACAUAGAACACCCAUUGCGAAGGCAGCUUACUACGGAUAUAUUGACACUGAGGCUCGAAAGCGUGGGGAUCAAACAGGAUUAGAUACCCUGGUAGUCCACGCCUUAUACGAUGGAUACUCGACAUCAGCGA